CGAAAGCCUGACGGAGCAACGCCGCGUGUGGGAAGAAGGCCUUUGGGCUGUCAACCACUUUUCUCAGGGAAGAAGUUCUGACGGUACCUGAGGAAUCAGCCUCGGCUAACUCCGUGCCAGCAGCCGCGGUAAUACGGAGGAGGCAAGCGUUAUCCGGAAUUAUUGGGCGUAAAGCGUCCGCAGGGGGCUCAUCAAGUCUGCUGUCAAAGCCCGGGGCUCAACCCCGACGCGGCAGUGGAAACUGGGAGGCUAGAGGACGGCAGGGGUAGAGGGAAUUCCCAGGGUAGCGGUGAAAUGCGUAGAUAUUGGGAAGAACACCGGUGGCGAAAGCGCUUUGCUGGACCGAACCUGACGCUGAGGGACGAAAGCUAGGGGAGCG
This 379-nucleotide ribosomal RNA is filed under the name uncultured cyanobacterium. RNAcentral's name for it is "bacterial SSU rRNA". It matches the Rfam family "Bacterial small subunit ribosomal RNA", at positions 376 to 770 of the family's 1533-position model. The record is from RNAcentral. Lineage: Bacteria; Bacillati; Cyanobacteriota.